This 433-nucleotide ribosomal RNA is filed under the name uncultured bacterium. Its description in RNAcentral is "partial 16S ribosomal RNA". It matches the Rfam family "Bacterial small subunit ribosomal RNA", at positions 29 to 507 of the family's 1533-position model. The record is from RNAcentral.
AACGAACGCUGGCGGCAGGCCUAACACAUGCAAGUCGAACGAAGUCUUCGGACUUAGUGGCGCACGGGUGAGUAACACGUGGGAAUAUACCUUACGCUGGGGGAUAACAUCGGGAAACUGAUGCUAAUACCGCAUACGCCCUUCGGGGGAAAGAUUUAUCGGCGCAAGAUUAGCCCGCGUCCGAUUAGCUAGUUGGUGAGGUAAUGGCUCACCAAGGCUCCGAUCGGUAGCUGGUCUGAGAGGAUGACCAGCCACACUGGGACUGAGACACGGCCCAGACUCCUACGGGAGGCAGCAGUGGGGAAUAUUGGACAAUGGGCGCAAGCCUGAUCCAGCCAUGCCGCGUGAGUGAUGAAGGCCUUAGGGUUGUAAAGCUCUUUCACCCACGACGAUGAUGACGGUAGUGGGAGAAGAAGCCCCGGCUAACUUCGUG